AAAAUGAAAUUUAUAGUAAGAGGAAAAUCCGUCGACUUUAAAAAUCGUGAG
RNAcentral lists this transfer RNA (51 nucleotides) under Schoepfia schreberi. RNAcentral describes it as "partial tRNA-Leu". The record is from RNAcentral. RNAcentral also lists the same sequence under 1 other name. Lineage: Eukaryota; Viridiplantae; Streptophyta; Magnoliopsida; Santalales; Schoepfiaceae.